CCUACGGGAGGCAGCAGUGGGGAAUAUUGGACAAUGGGGGGAACCCUGAUCCAGCCAUGCCGCGUGUGUGAAGAAGGCCCUCGGGUUGUAAAGCACUUUCAGUGAGGAAGAACGCCUGGUGGUUAAUACCCAUCAGGAAAGACAUCACUCACAGAAGAAGCACCGGCUAACUCCGUGCCAGCAGCCGCGGUAAUACGGAGGGUGCGAGCGUUAAUCGGAAUUACUGGGCGUAAAGCGCGCGCAGGUGGCUUGAUAAGCCGGUUGUGAAAGCCCCGGGCUCAACCUGGGAACGGCAUCCGGAACUGUCAAGCUAGAGUGCAGGAGAGGAAGGUAGAAUUCCCGGUGUAGCGGUGAAAUGCGUAGAGAUCGGGAGGAAUACCAGUGGCGAAGGCGGCCUUCUGGACUGACACUGACGCUGAGGUGCGAAAGCGUGGGUAGCAAACAGGAUUAGAUACCCGUGUAGUC
Molecule: ribosomal RNA, 465 nt
Filed under: Vreelandella stevensii
Lineage: Bacteria; Pseudomonadati; Pseudomonadota; Gammaproteobacteria; Oceanospirillales; Halomonadaceae
Description: partial 16S ribosomal RNA
Rfam family: Bacterial small subunit ribosomal RNA
Source: RNAcentral